GCGGGUGUAGUUCAGUGGUAGAACGUCUGCUUCCCAAGCAGGAUGUCCCGGGUUCGAGUCCCGGCACCCGCU
This 72-nucleotide transfer RNA is filed under the name Chloroflexota bacterium. Its description in RNAcentral is "tRNA-Gly". It matches the Rfam family "tRNA". Rfam says of the family: Transfer RNA (tRNA) molecules are approximately 80 nucleotides in length. Their secondary structure includes four short double-helical elements and three loops (D, anti-codon, and T loops). RNAcentral also lists the same sequence under 1 other name. The record is from RNAcentral. Lineage: Bacteria; Bacillati; Chloroflexota.